GAUGGUAUAGCUCAAGUGGUAGAAUGCAUGCUUAGCAUGCGUGAGGUUCUGGGUUCAAUCCUCAGUACCUCCU
RNAcentral lists this transfer RNA (73 nucleotides) under Camelus bactrianus (Bactrian camel). It matches the Rfam family "tRNA". From Rfam's summary of the family: Transfer RNA (tRNA) molecules are approximately 80 nucleotides in length. Their secondary structure includes four short double-helical elements and three loops (D, anti-codon, and T loops). Further hydrogen bonds mediate the characteristic L-shaped molecular structure. tRNAs have two regions of fundamental functional importance: the anti-codon, which is responsible for specific mRNA codon recognition, and the 3' end, to which the tRNAs corresponding amino acid is attached (by aminoacyl-tRNA synthetases). tRNAs cope with the degeneracy of the genetic code in two manners: having more than one tRNA (with a specific anti-codon) for a particular amino acid; and 'wobble' base-pairing, i.e. permitting non-standard base-pairing at the 3rd anti-codon position. The record is from Rfam by way of RNAcentral. Lineage: Eukaryota; Metazoa; Chordata; Mammalia; Artiodactyla; Camelidae. RNAcentral also lists the same sequence under 1 other name.